This 835-nucleotide long non-coding RNA is filed under the name Lupinus angustifolius (narrow-leaved blue lupine). RNAcentral's name for it is "long non-coding RNA (LANG_LNC002471)". Lineage: Eukaryota; Viridiplantae; Streptophyta; Magnoliopsida; Fabales; Fabaceae. The record is from RNAcentral.
AUAAAUUGAGACAACUGUAAAUAUCAAAUUUUGACUAAGAUAAAAAUAUUUUCUUUAAAAGAAAAAUGAAUAAAUAAAGGAUAAUAGGGUGGUUAGAAUUGGGUUCCUUUGCCCCAACCAGAUUAGGGUUUGGAACCCUAACCUAAUCUCUUAUAUAAUCCUUGUUUCAUAAACAAUGAAUGGGGCUUAGCAAAAACUCAAAAAAAAGAAGAGGCUUAACCUAAUCCCAAAAGAGACACUUGACUAAUCCUAAUCCUAAAAUUGAAGGCAGACCCAAUUAGAGAAAAAAAAAGAAGAGCAAGAGGCAAGGCAAUCCCUACUAUCCUAAUAGCAUCACAUCAAUCCGUUCUUUAGUUUAGGCUAAGACUAACAGGUAUACUUUUCUCCCUAUUGUAAGCUCAUUUACUAUCACUUUCUACGUCUCUAUUCUUUUUUAUAGAUUUGGAUUGUUGCAACAACAAUCUCUUGAGACCCUGGUUCUCAAGACUCAACCUCUCAGGACCAACUCACAGGCCACCGCUGGCGUAGGUGGCUCACCGCGGGAUUCGUGACGUCCACCAUGGGCAGCCAACAGAAGCUGGUGACCUCCCAAGGCUCAGGAUGGCCUCUCCUUCUAAUGUUGACCACGGGUCAGCCGCUUCCUUUUCUGUUUCUCCAUGGCAGUUUCGGUUAUCUUCUUCCUUCCUUUCUUUUCUUUGGUUGUUUUCUAAUUUGUUCUCUUUACUUUUUUGUUCUUUUUUUUUUCUAUUUCUGUAUUGUUAUUAUCAUUAUUUUGGUUUUUGUUUCCAUUCAAUUCUUUUGUUCGUGUAUUCUUAGGUUUUAGUUGCUUUUUUAC